Molecule: ribosomal RNA, 467 nt
Filed under: uncultured bacterium
Lineage: Bacteria
Description: partial 16S ribosomal RNA
Rfam family: Bacterial small subunit ribosomal RNA
Source: RNAcentral
GACGAACGCUGGCGGCGUGCUUAACACAUGCAAGUCGAACGGAAAGGCCUCUUUCGGGGGGUACUCGAGUGGCGAACGGGUGAGUAACACGUGAGUAACCUGCCCUUGACUUUGGGAUAACUUCAGGAAACGGGGGCUAAUACCGGAUAGGAGCUCCUGCGGCAUGGGGGGGGUUGGAAAGUUUCGGCUGUUGGGGAUGGACUCGCGGCUUAUCAGCUUGUUGGUGGGGGAGUGGCUUACCAAGGCGUUGACGGGUAGCCGGCCUGAGAGGGGGACAGGCCACAUUCGGACUGGGAUACGGCCCCGACUCCUACUGGUGGCGGCAGUGGCGAAUGUUGCUCAAUGGGUGGGAGCCUGAUGCUGCAACGCCGUGUGCGGGAUGACGGCCUUGGGGUUGUGAUCCGAUUUCGCUCAUGCCGAAGCUUUGUGUGACGGUAGUGGGUAAAGAAGCACCGGCUAACUACGUG